Molecule: long non-coding RNA, 1621 nt
Organism: Grus americana (Whooping crane)
Lineage: Eukaryota; Metazoa; Chordata; Aves; Gruiformes; Gruidae
Exons: 3
Source: RefSeq, a predicted model, not a curated record
ACUUUUUCCAUUUCUCUGACAUUGCUGGAGCACCUGUGGCCUUAUCUGGAUCCUUACGUAGCCUUUGCCUUUUCCCCCGCGAUAUCUGAGCAGCUGCACCCUGAGAUUACGAGAGGUAGAGGUUGGAAAUGCAGUCACAGGCCCUGCCGUUGCACAGGAAGGCACCCGGAGGCCCCUGCACUGCACGGGACGGCGCUCAGAGGCUCCUUGGACGCAUAGAGGGACAACUUGUGCGUGUGGAGCAGAAGCCACCGUGUCCCCAGAGGGGUUACUGGGGAUGAAGCCUCUGGAAAGGGGCUGCCACAGAAGCAGGGGGCUGCAUCUGCCGGCUUGCUCGGCUCCCCACAGCCGUCACUGGGAGCUGCGCCCAGGAGGAGCUGAGCAGCAGCUGGGCAUGGCAGCACGUGCUGGGCUGCUUUUCUUUUUGGAAAUAAAAACUGGAGCAAGCCACAACUGAGACAAGGCGAUAUUUGAUUUAUUUGCUGCAUUGUUUAUUUAACUGCUGCUAACAGCUCUCAGAAAGAGGCAUCUCCUCCCUCGCUUCCCAAGUCCUUGUCUUCUCCUGCAGCGAGCUCUUGCUAGCUACCAGGCUGUCAGGUUAUCCACCUGCCACACAUAUGGCAGGUCCCCCAGACAUAUGGACAGUGCGGUUCCUGCAGGAAAACCCCGUAAUGACCCACCAGGCCAGUGGGGUCCCAGCUGCCAGGCAUGGCUGGUGCCUCCUCCUCACAAUUUGGUUGAGGCUCGGGAUGGGUGCAGGUCUGCCUGGUUGUGGGGCAGGCUGUUGCUAUGUGGCAAGGUGGUGGCGACUGGCAUUCCCUGCCUGCUGUGGGAGUCCUCUAUGUGGAGAUGCUGCCCUGGAACUAAGCUGGUGCUGCAGAGGUCUGGGUGAAACGCUGCUAUGGGGCCACCACCCGCAGACCCACUGGCAGAGCAGCUGUGGGUUUUGCUGCCAAAGCUCUCCCAGCUCAACCUCUGUCCCAGCACGACUGCAGAAGGGCCAGACCAAACCAAGUCUUGCGUGGCACAGCUGCCAGCGUGAUUGUCCUCCUGGAUGCAGCCGGAGCCACUGGCAGUGGGGGGACGGCUUCCCUCUGGAGCAGAGCUGUGGGCUGGGGAUGCCGCAUGUUUUCAGGUUCCCUGUGCCCGCUGCCAUCGCAGUGAUGGUGCUGAGCUCCCCGGAGCUGGGACUGUGCCACGGGAGGUCGCUCUGCCACCACUGUUCGGCGUCCCCGGCCCCUGCCCCGCAGGGCCGCAGCUGUUCCCGCUGCACGGAGCCAGAGUACACUGUGUUCGCCCAGAGUCCUUGAUUAAACAAAAUGUUUAUGCAUGCCUCUGCUCCGACGAACAUCUUGGCCGGCUUGCAUGAAGCCUGUUCUCUGCCACAGCUCCAACUGUGCCGGGGUGCAAGCCCCAGCUGCUGGGAGGUUUGGGGAAGGGUCUGUGUGGUGCUAACUUUAAGGAGCCUGCUGGCCUUCUCUGGGUGGUCCCCACCCUCAGUCCCUGCACCCCCAGCUCUUCUACAAGGGGCUGUGGCUGCCAGGGGAGGCGGCUGCCCUGCAACCCCUUGGUGCCAAGGGGAGCUGCUGGCCCCUUUGAGGGGCUGCAGGGGGGUCAUGCU